Molecule: long non-coding RNA, 1744 nt
Organism: Hippopotamus amphibius kiboko
Lineage: Eukaryota; Metazoa; Chordata; Mammalia; Artiodactyla; Hippopotamidae
Exons: 3
Source: RefSeq, a predicted model, not a curated record
GGGCUGCUCUGGGGAUAGAGGCCGCAUUGUUCCCACGCCGGGCCCGGCCGAGGGGCAGGCGGCGGCCAGCACCCCGGCUGUGCGCCCCGGGGGCCCCCAGAGCGAGCCCACUCUAGCCGAUGCCCGGGAAGGCUGUGCCGUCCGGGCUGGGAGACGGGUCACUGGCUUGAAUCCGGCCCUGCGUCCGACCGGCCACCUAACCCCGGGCAAGCCGUGCCACGUCUCCCGGCCUCCGUUUCCCCACCCGUACAAGGGACAGCGGUCUCAGCUCCGGCCACUAGGGCUGCUGUGAUGACGCAAUGGAAGAUGCACACAGUCAGGCCGCGGCGAGCGCUCCAGGGUCAGGCCCCAGGCCCGUCACCAACACGCCGCUCAGACCAUCACUAAUCCAGCAGUUUCACCGAGGCAAAUACUCCACCACAGGGAGGAAAGAGACAGCCGUACCCAAAGCACAAGGGGCGGGGGGAGCGCGUGAGCGAGAAGCAAGCGGCCGGGAGGAGCCCUCUGGUCCUUGGGCUCUGGGCUCACGCACACGGCCACGUGACGCGCUCGCCAGCUGAUGCCAGAGACAAAGCAGGUUAAUGAAGAAAGUGAAACAAGCUACAGCUAAGAGGUUCCAGGAUUUUUUUUUUUUUAAGAUGCAACAGCAAUAUUUAAAAACAAAACCGCAUUUUUGAAGCCAGAUAUGAUAAUUUGCCAACAAAGUCUUUUGGGGAAAAGGGAAGCCUGGCUGGGAGGGGCCCCUCUUCGCCCACCCUGAUUGGGGCCACUCCCUCUUCUGUCCUCCACCCACCAGACUGAGGACCCCCUGAGCUGGUGGGGGUCUCGGCCGGUUGUCCCCCACCACCUCCCCAACGCCCCCAUCCCCAGGAAGACUGAUUCCCCAAUGUCCCCAUGUCGAGCCCCAGCCUGAUCGAUUCCUCUCGGAGACCCUAACGAGAGCCUGGGAUCCCGGCCCUGCCUCCCAGGGCGCCCUCCUGGCUGUGCUGAAGCUGGACCUUGAGGAUGGACCAGGUUGGCAGCCCAGGCACCACCGGCGGCCACAGAGCAGGGCAGAGGGAGGUGGCUCCUUCCUGAGCAGGCCUUGCAGUAAAAUCCUGUUUCUUCUAUUAGUUCAGAAAACGUCCAUCCGGCGCGAACUCUGGGCCAGGCUUGUCCAGCCGGCGAGGGUGUCCGAGGGCCUGUGUGUGGCUUCACUAAGGCAGGCCAGACUCCCUGGUAACCUGCCGGCUGGUCCCAAGUUCACCGGAGGACGGGGUUUGCAGAGGAGUUGAAAGACACCAGAGAACCACAAAUACUGUCCAAAAUUGCUCUUGGUGGCUUUCCCCCCACCCCCUUGGGAUCGACCCUUCCUCUUCCAGACCCAGUUUCUCUCACUUCCAUCCUGCAUCCCCGCAGCAGACAAAGGCCGACUGGGCCUGGGCCGAGGGAGGCCCCAUCCAGCCCACGGUCCAAACCCCGGCUACCUUUCCAGAGCUUGCCAACAUGCCCCUGCGGCCUCGCAGAAGGAAUCACGGAGGAAGAAAAAAUAAACUUGUGAAAGUUUAAACUCCACUCGAUAAAAAAAAAUCCAGACAUUCCCAGUGAAACUUCCCAAGAACCACAGGUCAGGGGACUUUCUCUUUUUCCUUUCCUGUAAAUCUCAUCCCUGACCGAGUUCUCAGGGUCUGUGAUGCCCAGACACUGGUGCUCUGCUGGCCCAGCCAACGGGACACUGGUCGGCCCUGAAAAUAAAUAUUUCAUA